UAGUAAUCGCGGAUCAGAAUGCCGCGGUGAAUACGUUCCCGGGUCUUGUACACACCGCCCGUCACACCAUGGGAGUCGGGAAUGCCCGAAGCCAGUGACCCAAGCGAGAGCAGGGAGCUGUCGAAGGCAGGCCGGAUAACUGGGGUGAAGUCGUAACAAGGUACC
RNAcentral lists this ribosomal RNA (165 nucleotides) under uncultured bacterium. RNAcentral describes it as "partial 16S ribosomal RNA". It matches the Rfam family "Bacterial small subunit ribosomal RNA", at positions 1336 to 1500 of the family's 1533-position model. The record is from RNAcentral.